This 69-nucleotide small RNA is filed under the name unclassified sequences. RNAcentral describes it as "NAD+-I sequence". It matches the Rfam family "nadA riboswitch". The record is from Rfam by way of RNAcentral.
GCUUUCAACAUCCCCGUUCCGGGGCGAGGUUUUUCUUUCCAGAAGAGCCUCGCGGCCAGAACUGAAGGC